UCUUAAACCCUGUUCCAAUGAUGUUACCCAGGCAUUUCUAGCAAAAAAUAUUUGCGGGUUUAAUUCUUUCUGUGUCUGAUUCUUGAAAAUCUUAAACUUAGAUGACUCUCAAGUUGACUCACUUGGAAAACUAAAAUGUUAUCCUUCAUUCUUCUCUCUGCCUUUUCUUCAGUGUCUAACUGAUCCCCUAACAAUGCCACCUUAGAAACGCUCACUCUCAUCCCUUUUCUCUACUGCCCAGCAGAAUCUCUGUUGGAUCCUCAUUACUUUUCUGAGUUACAGAUGGAAUUUCUUAAAUUGUGCCCCUGAUUCUAGUCUUGAUAUCUUCAACCUACAAAAGUAGGUUGAAUAUGCAGCCAGACUAAUA
This 367-nucleotide long non-coding RNA is filed under the name Homo sapiens (human). Its description in RNAcentral is "HSALNT0057131". The record is from RNAcentral. Lineage: Eukaryota; Metazoa; Chordata; Mammalia; Primates; Hominidae.